This 1439-nucleotide ribosomal RNA is filed under the name Pseudomonadota bacterium. RNAcentral's name for it is "bacterial LSU rRNA". It matches the Rfam family "Bacterial large subunit ribosomal RNA", at positions 1064 to 2490 of the family's 2925-position model. The record is from RNAcentral. Lineage: Bacteria; Pseudomonadati; Pseudomonadota.
UGGGAAACGAUGUGGGAAGGCUUAGACAGCUAGGAGGUUGGCUUAGAAGCAGCCACCCUUUAAAGAAAGCGUAAUAGCUCACUAGUCGAGUCGGCCUGCGCGGAAGAUGUAACGGGGCUCAAACCAGGUACCGAAGCUACGGGUUCAACGUAAGUUGAGCGGUAGAGGAGCGUUCUGUAAGCCUGUGAAGGUCAGUUGAGAAGCUGGCUGGAGGUAUCAGAAGUGCGAAUGCUGACAUGAGUAACGACAAUGCGAGUGAAAAACUCGCACGCCGAAAGACCAAGGGUUCCUGCGCAACGUUAAUCGACGCAGGGUGAGUCGGUCCCUAAGGCGAGGCUGAAGAGCGUAGUCGAUGGGAAACGGGUUAAUAUUCCCGUACUUCUAGUUACUGCGAUGGGGGGACGGAGAAGGCUAGGCCAGCAAGGCGUUGGUUGUCCUUGUUUAAGGUGGUAGGCAGAGAUCUUAGGUAAAUCCGGGAUCUUAAUGCCGAGAGCUGAUGACGAGCUUUCUUUUAGAAAGCGAAGUGGUUGAUGCCAUGCUUCCAGGAAAAGCCUCUAAGCUUCAGGUAACUAGGAACCGUACCCCAAACCGACACAGGUGGUUGGGUAGAGAAUACCAAGGCGCUUGAGAGAACUCGGGUGAAGGAACUAGGCAAAAUGGCACCGUAACUUCGGGAGAAGGUGCGCCGGUGAGGGUGAAGGGUUUACCCCGUAAGCUCAUGCCGGUCGAAGAUACCAGGCCGCUGCGACUGUUUAUUAAAAACACAGCACUCUGCAAACACGAAAGUGGACGUAUAGGGUGUGACGCCUGCCCGGUGCCGGAAGGUUAAUUGAUGGGGUUAGCGCAAGCGAAGCUCUUGAUCGAAGCCCCGGUAAGCGGCGGCCGUAACUAUAACGGUCCUAAGGUAGCGAAAUUCCUUGUCGGGUAAGUUCCGACCUGCACGAAUGGCGUAACGAUGGCGGCGCUGUCUCCACCCGAGACUCAGUGAAAUUGAAAUCGCUGUGAAGAUGCAGUGUAUCCGCGGCUAGACGGAAAGACCCCGUGAACCUUUACUAUAGCUUUGCACUGGACUUUGAAUUUGCUUGUGUAGGAUAGGUGGGAGGCUUUGAAGCGUGGACGCCAGUUCGCGUGGAGCCAUCCUUGAAAUACCACCCUGGCAACUUUGAGGUUCUAACUCUGGUCCGUUAUCCGGAUCGAGGACAGUGUAUGGUGGGUAGUUUGACUGGGGCGGUCUCCUCCUAAAGAGUAACGGAGGAGUACGAAGGUGCGCUCAGACCGGUCGGAAAUCGGUCGUAGAGUAUAAAGGCAAAAGCGCGCUUGACUGCGAGACAGACACGUCGAGCAGGUACGAAAGUAGGUCUUAGUGAUCCGGUGGUUCUGUAUGGAAGGGCCAUCGCUCAACGGAUAAAAGGUACUCCGGGGAUAACAGGCUGAUACCG